RNAcentral lists this ribosomal RNA (1333 nucleotides) under Vibrio sp. 08EPH64. RNAcentral describes it as "16S ribosomal RNA". It matches the Rfam family "Bacterial small subunit ribosomal RNA", at positions 90 to 1419 of the family's 1533-position model. Lineage: Bacteria; Pseudomonadati; Pseudomonadota; Gammaproteobacteria; Vibrionales; Vibrionaceae. The record is from RNAcentral.
GUCGAGCGGCGGACGGGUGAGUAAUGCCUAGGAAAUUGCCCUGAUGUGGGGGAUAACCAUUGGAAACGAUGGCUAAUACCGCAUGAUGCCUACGGGCCAAAGAGGGGGACCUUCGGGCCUCUCGCGUCAGGAUAUGCCUAGGUGGGAUUAGCUAGUUGGUGAGGUAAGGGCUCACCAAGGCGACGAUCCCUAGCUGGUCUGAGAGGAUGAUCAGCCACACUGGAACUGAGACACGGUCCAGACUCCUACGGGAGGCAGCAGUGGGGAAUAUUGCACAAUGGGCGCAAGCCUGAUGCAGCCAUGCCGCGUGUGUGAAGAAGGCCUUCGGGUUGUAAAGUACUUUCAGUCGUGAGGAAGGUGGUGUAGUUAAUAGCUGCAUUAUUUGACGUUAGCGACAGAAGAAGCACCGGCUAACUCCGUGCCAGCAGCCGCGGUAAUACGGAGGGUGCGAGCGUUAAUCGGAAUUACUGGGCGUAAAGCGCAUGCAGGUGGUUUGUUAAGUCAGAUGUGAAAGCCCGGGGCUCAACCUCGGAAUAGCAUUUGAAACUGGCAGACUAGAGUACUGUAGAGGGGGGUAGAAUUUCAGGUGUAGCGGUGAAAUGCGUAGAGAUCUGAAGGAAUACCGGUGGCGAAGGCGGCCCCCUGGACAGAUACUGACACUCAGAUGCGAAAGCGUGGGGAGCAAACAGGAUUAGAUACCCUGGUAGUCCACGCCGUAAACGAUGUCUACUUGGAGGUUGUGGCCUUGAGCCGUGGCUUUCGGAGCUAACGCGUUAAGUAGACCGCCUGGGGAGUACGGUCGCAAGAUUAAAACUCAAAUGAAUUGACGGGGGCCCGCACAAGCGGUGGAGCAUGUGGUUUAAUUCGAUGCAACGCGAAGAACCUUACCUACUCUUGACAUCCAGAGAACUUUCCAGAGAUGGAUUGGUGCCUUCGGGAACUCUGAGACAGGUGCUGCAUGGCUGUCGUCAGCUCGUGUUGUGAAAUGUUGGGUUAAGUCCCGCAACGAGCGCAACCCUUAUCCUUGUUUGCCAGCGAGUAAUGUCGGGAACUCCAGGGAGACUGCCGGUGAUAAACCGGAGGAAGGUGGGGACGACGUCAAGUCAUCAUGGCCCUUACGAGUAGGGCUACACACGUGCUACAAUGGCGCAUACAGAGGGCGGCCAACUUGCGAAAGUGAGCGAAUCCCAAAAAGUGCGUCGUAGUCCGGAUUGGAGUCUGCAACUCGACUCCAUGAAGUCGGAAUCGCUAGUAAUCGUGGAUCAGAAUGCCACGGUGAAUACGUUCCCGGGCCUUGUACACACCGCCCGUCACACCAUGGGAGUGGGCUGCA